UUUUGGGCUACCUGCUUUACCAAUUAUAUCUACUGCCUGACCAACCCGGACAGAUACAGGAAGAGUCUGCAAGGAAUUAUAUUAAAUAAUGACUAGAAUAUAAUUGCACGAUUGUGUGACUUUCCCAGUAUCAAAUUUGUCGAAUCAAGACAAGCUACCAUGAUCACUAAUAAUCCUGCGAGAGCCGUUUGAUCCAGAACUUUUGAAGCAUAGUGCAAUGGAGAAAGAGACAGUGUACCCUGGAAAAGUAGUGAAGUAGAGUAAGAUGAAAGAAUUAUUGAAAAUAUUUGUAUACCUUUCCCAGAUGCACCAAGCCCUGUGAAAUCCGCACCAGGAACAGCUCCCACGAGUCCAAGAGCAAAAAUUGCAUUGUAAGCUACCUCAGGAUCGUUGUCAUGACUAUACUUCUUGAGGACAUCAAGCAACGCUGGUUCUGGAUCUGACAAUGAAUUUAAAGCC
Cephus cinctus (wheat stem sawfly) is the source of this 459-nucleotide long non-coding RNA. RefSeq lists it as uncharacterized. Lineage: Eukaryota; Metazoa; Arthropoda; Insecta; Hymenoptera; Cephidae. The record is from RefSeq and is a predicted model, not a curated record. The transcript is spliced from 3 exons.